GAGGCCGAGGUCCUGUGGUUGAGCCGCCGCGCAUCCCACCCAGGCGCGGGAGCCGCGGGCCAGCAAUGCUGUGGGGUGGCCGAGGAGGCGCGCAGGGCUCCCUGGCCGACUGAGGUCCAGCUUGGGGAACCUGCGGAAGUGACCAGAGUGGCAGAACUCGGGGACAUAGAAGUCGAAGGGACCCAAUCUCCGAGGAGUUGAGAUCGGUCUCGCUGGGGUCGAUGGCUGCUACCUAGAUUCAUUUGGUUUGGCAAAUGUUCAUUGAAGGCAGUCUUUUCUGUGCUAACCACUGGAAACCAGAAGAUGAAUAAGAGAAGGCCCUGCCCUCGUGGGCAUUGUGUGCUUUCAAUGACUUAGAGAAAGCCAGUGGGUGCUGUGGGUGAUGCUGCCAAACCAAAGACCUAAACCACAGAGCAUGGGCCCAGAAAAACAAGUUUUAAACAGCCUAAAAAGAAAAGCAGUAUCUACCCAGAUAACGCAGAGAUUUUCUCUCUGGUGUUUAUGGUCCCCAAGUCCUCUGUCACCGAUGAGCCGGAUUUCUAGCUUACCUGAUGAAUGCUGAGCUUUCACAUCACUUCAUCCUGAGGAGACAAGGUCAUACUGAAAUAAUUUUCCUUUCAUUGAAAGCAAAACGCCAAUACCCCUAGAAU
This 650-nucleotide long non-coding RNA is filed under the name Equus asinus (donkey). Its description in RNAcentral is "lncRNA (ENSEASG00005031409.1)". Lineage: Eukaryota; Metazoa; Chordata; Mammalia; Perissodactyla; Equidae. The record is from RNAcentral.